AUCGAUGAAGAACGCAGCGAAAUGCGAUAAGUAAUGUGAAUUGCAGAAUUCAGUGAAUCAUCGAAUCUUUGAACGCACAUUGCGCCCAUUAGUAUUCUAGUGGGCAUGCCUGUUCGAGCGUCAUUUCAACCCUUAAGCCCUGCUGCUUAGUGUUGGGAGCCUACGGUCUCGUGCCGUAGCUCCUCAAAGUUAGUGGCGGGGUCGGUUCGCACUCCAGACGUAGUAGAUUUUAUUUUCAUCUCGCCUGUAGUGUGUGCCGGUCCUCUGCCGUAAAACCCCCCAAUUUUUAAAGGUUGACCUCGGAUCAGGUAGGAAUACCCGCUGAACUUAAGCAUAUCAAUAAGCGGAGGAAAAGAAACCAACAGGGAUUGCCCUAGUAACGGCGAGUGAAGCGGCAACAGCUCAAAUUUGAAAUCUGGCCCUCGGGUCCGAGUUGUAAUUUGCAGAGGAUGCUUUUGGCGCGGUGCCUUCCGAGUUCCCUGGAACGGGACGCCUUAGAGGGUGAGAGCCCCGUACGGUUGGACACCAAGCCUCUGUAAAGCUCCUUCGACGAGUCGAGUAGUUUGGGAAUGCUGCUCUAAAUGGGAGGUAAAUUUCUUCUAAAGCUAAAUAUUGGCCAGAGACCGAUAGCGCACAAGUAGAGUGAUCGAAAGAUGAAAAGCACUUUGAAAAGAGGGUUAAAUAGCACGUGAAAUUGUUGAAAGGGAAGCGUUUGCGACCAGACCUCUUCAUGGCGAAUCAUCCGGUGUUCUCACCGGUGCACUUCGUCACGUCGAGGCCAGCAUCGGUUUCUGUAGGGGGAUAAAAGCUCUGGGAACGUAGCUCCUCCGGGAGUGUUAUAGCCCUCUGCAUAAUACCUUUACGGGGACCGAGGACCGCGCUUUAUUGCAAGGAUGCUGGCGUAAUGGUCGUCAACGACCCGUCUUGAAACACGG
RNAcentral lists this ribosomal RNA (935 nucleotides) under uncultured fungus. RNAcentral describes it as "eukaryotic LSU rRNA". The stretch from base 295 to 935 matches the Rfam family "Eukaryotic large subunit ribosomal RNA", at positions 1 to 664 of the family's 3401-position model. Lineage: Eukaryota; Fungi. The record is from RNAcentral.